GUCUCAAAGAUUAAGCCAUGCAUGUCUCAGUACAAGCCAAAUUAAGGUGAAACCGCGAAAGGCUCAUUAAAUCAGUUAUGGUUCCUUAGAUCGUACCCACAAUUACUUGGAUAACUGUGGUAAUUCUAGAGCUAAUACAUGCAAACAGAGCUCCGACCGGAGACGGAAGGAGUGCUUUUAUUAGAUCAAAACCAAUCGGUGGCGGGUUCGCGCUCGUUAUCGUACAACUUGGUGACUCUGAAUAACUUUACGCUGAUCGCACGGUCAUCGCACCGGCGACGCAUCUUUCAAAUGUCUGCCUUAUCAACUGUCGAUGGUAGGUUCUGCGCCUACCAUGGUUGUAACGGGUAACGGGGAAUCAGGGUUCGAUUCCGGAGAGGGAGCCUGAGAAACGGCUACCACAUCCAAGGAAGGCAGCAGGCGCGCAAAUUACCCACUCCCGGCACGGGGAGGUAGUGACGAAAAAUAACGAUACGGGACUCAUCCGAGGCCCCGUAAUCGGAAUGAGUACACUCUAAACCCUUUAACGAGGAUCAAUUGGAGGGCAAGUCUGGUGCCAGCAGCCGCGG
Molecule: ribosomal RNA, 569 nt
Filed under: Trigonopterus rotundatus
Lineage: Eukaryota; Metazoa; Arthropoda; Insecta; Coleoptera; Curculionidae
Description: SSU rRNA
Rfam family: Eukaryotic small subunit ribosomal RNA
Source: RNAcentral